Schistosoma mansoni is the source of this 82-nucleotide non-coding RNA. NCBI's taxonomy places the organism in Eukaryota, Metazoa, Platyhelminthes, Trematoda, Strigeidida, Schistosomatidae. The record is from Rfam.
UACGAGGUGGCCGAGUUGUUAAGGCGAUGGAUUGCUAGUCCAUUGAGGUUUCCCCGCGUGGUUUCGAAUCCCAUCCCCGUCG